Molecule: ribosomal RNA, 434 nt
Filed under: uncultured bacterium
Lineage: Bacteria
Description: partial 16S ribosomal RNA
Rfam family: Bacterial small subunit ribosomal RNA
Source: RNAcentral
AGCGAACGCUGGCGGCAGGCCUAACACAUGCAAGUCGAACGAACCUUUCGGGGUUAGUGGCGGACGGGUGAGUAACACGUGGGAACGUGCCUUUAGGUUCGGAAUAACUCAGGGAAACUUGUGCUAAUACCGAAUGUGCCCUUCGGGGGAAAGAUUUAUCGCCUGUAGAGCGGCCCGCGUCUGUUUAGCUAGUUGGUUGAGGUAAUGGCUCACCAAGGCGACGAUCAGUAGCUGGUCUGAGAGGAUGAUCAGCCACAUUGGGACUGAGACACGGCCCAAACUCCUACGGGAGGCAGCAGUGGGGAAUCUUGCGGAAUGGGCGAAAGCCUGACGCAGCCAUGCCGCGUGAAUGAUGAAGGUCUUAGGAUUGUAAAAUUCUUUCACCGGGGACGAUAAUGACGGUACCCGGAGAAGAAGCCCCGGCUAACUUCGUG